Molecule: ribosomal RNA, 253 nt
Filed under: uncultured prokaryote
Description: partial 16S ribosomal RNA
Rfam family: Bacterial small subunit ribosomal RNA
Source: RNAcentral
UACGUAGGGGGCGAGCGUUGUCCGAAGUUACUGGGCGUAAAGAGCGCGUAGGCGGGUUUUUAAGUGAGGGGUGAAAUUUCGAGGCUCAACCUCGGAACUGCCUUUCAUACUGGGAACCUUGAGUGCGGGAGAGGCGAGUGGAAUGGUCGGUGUAGCGGUGAAAUGCGUAGAUAUCGGGAGGAACACCUGUGGCGAAAGCGGCUCACUGGACCACAACUGACGCUGAGGCACGAAAGCUAGGGGAGCAAACAGG